Molecule: ribosomal RNA, 863 nt
Filed under: uncultured delta proteobacterium
Lineage: Bacteria; Deltaproteobacteria
Description: bacterial SSU rRNA
Rfam family: Bacterial small subunit ribosomal RNA
Source: RNAcentral
CCGCGGGAUUAGAGUUUGAUCCUGGCUCAGAACGAACGUUAGCGGCGCGCUUAACACAUGCAAGUCGCACGAGAAAGGGAGCAAUCCCCAGUAAAGUGGCGCACGGGUGAGUAACACGUAGGUAAUCUGCCUCUGAGUGGUGGAUAACCUCCCGAAAGGGGGGCUAAUACAGCAUAAGACCACGGUCUCGAAAGGGACUGAGGUCAAAGCCGGCCUCUUCAUGAAAGCUGGUGCUCGGAGAUGAGCCUGCGGCCCAUCAGGUAGUUGGCGGGGUAAUGGCCCACCAAGCCUAAGACGGGUAGCUGGUCUGAGAGGAUGAUCAGCCACACUGGAACUGAGACACGGUCCAGACUCCUACGGGAGGCAGCAGUGGGGAAUCUUGCGCAAUGGGCGAAAGCCUGACGCAGCGACGCCGCGUGGGUGAUGAAGGCCUUCGGGUUGUAAAGCUCUUUGGGUGGAGACGAAUAAGUCGUAGCUAACACCUACGAUGAUGACGGUAUCCACAUAACAAGCACCGGCUAACUCUGUGCCAGCAGCCGCGGUAAGACAGAGGGUGCAAACGUUGUUCGGAAUUACUGGGCGUAAAGCGCAUGUAGGCGGCCAAGCAGGUCGGAUGUGAAAUCCCUCGGCUCAACCAAGGAAGUGCAUUCGAAACCGCAUGGCUAGAGUCCCGGAGAGGAAGGUGGAAUUCUCGGUGUAGAGGUGAAAUUCGUAGAUAUCGAGAGGAACACCUGUGGCGAAAGCGGCCUUCUGGACGAGGACUGACGCUGAGAUGCGAAAGCGUGNGGAGCAAACAGGAUUAGAUACCCUGGUAGUCCACGCCGUAAACGAUGGGUGCUAGGUGUCGCGGGCUUUGACCCCUG